AUGAACGCUAGCGGCAGGCUUAACACAUGCAAGUCGAGGGGCAACACGGGUAGCAAUACCUGGUGGCGACCGGCGCAAGGGUGCGUAACGCGUGAGCAACAUGCCCUAUACAGGGGGAUAAUCCAGGGAAACUUGGUCUAAUAUCCCAUAGUAUUUAGAGGUGGCAUCACCACUAAAUUAAAGCUUCGGUGGUAUAGGAUUGGCUCGCGUGACAUUAGCUGGAUGGUGGGGUAACGGCUCACCAAGGCGACGAUGUCUAGGGGUUCUGAGAGGAAGGUCCCCCACACUGGAACUGAGACACGGUCCAGACUCCUACGGGAGGCAGCAGUGAGGAAUAUUGGACAAUGGUCGGAAGACUGAUCCAGCCAUGCCGCGUGAAGGUUACUGUCCUAUGGAUAUUAAACUUCUUUUGUAUGAGAGCAAUAAGGUGCACGUGUGCACCGAUGAGAGUAUCAUACGAAUAAGCAUCGGCUAACUCCGUG
This 482-nucleotide ribosomal RNA is filed under the name uncultured bacterium. RNAcentral's name for it is "bacterial SSU rRNA". It matches the Rfam family "Bacterial small subunit ribosomal RNA", at positions 29 to 507 of the family's 1533-position model. The record is from RNAcentral.